GCCGGGGUAGCUCAGGUGGUUAGCAGCGCGUGACUCAUAGGAUCUAGCCUGUGAGUGCUGAUCUCACGAGAUGAUGUGGGAAAUCGCGAGGUCGCGGGUUCGAGUCCCGCCCCCGGCA
This is a transfer RNA of 118 nucleotides. It matches the Rfam family "tRNA". Rfam says of the family: Transfer RNA (tRNA) molecules are approximately 80 nucleotides in length. Their secondary structure includes four short double-helical elements and three loops (D, anti-codon, and T loops). Further hydrogen bonds mediate the characteristic L-shaped molecular structure. tRNAs have two regions of fundamental functional importance: the anti-codon, which is responsible for specific mRNA codon recognition, and the 3' end, to which the tRNAs corresponding amino acid is attached (by aminoacyl-tRNA synthetases). tRNAs cope with the degeneracy of the genetic code in two manners: having more than one tRNA (with a specific anti-codon) for a particular amino acid; and 'wobble' base-pairing, i.e. permitting non-standard base-pairing at the 3rd anti-codon position. The record is from Rfam.